GUGCCAGCCGCCGCGGUAAUACGUAGGUGGCGAGCGUUAUCCGGAAUGAUUGGGCGUAAAGGGUGCGUAGGCGGCCUGUUAAGUCUGAAGUGAAAGGUACCGGCUCAACCGGUACAGGCUUUGGAAACUGGCAGGCUGGAGGACAGGAGAGGGCGGUGGAACUCCAUGUGUAGCGGUAAAAUGCGUAGAUAUAUGGAAGAACACCAGUGGCGAAGGCGGCCGCCUGGCCUGUUACUGACGCUGAGGCACGAAAGCGUGGGGAGCAAAUAGGAUUAGAUACCCUAGUAGUCCACGCCGUAAACGAUGAGGACCAAGUGUUGGGGAAGACCCAGUGCUGCAGUUAACGCAGUGAGUCCUCCGCCUGGGGAGUAUGCACGCAAGUGUGAA
Molecule: ribosomal RNA, 387 nt
Filed under: uncultured bacterium
Lineage: Bacteria
Description: bacterial SSU rRNA
Rfam family: Bacterial small subunit ribosomal RNA
Source: RNAcentral